Lepisosteus oculatus (spotted gar) is the source of this 496-nucleotide long non-coding RNA. RefSeq lists it as uncharacterized. Lineage: Eukaryota; Metazoa; Chordata; Actinopteri; Semionotiformes; Lepisosteidae. The record is from RefSeq and is a predicted model, not a curated record.
CUCGCUCAGUGCCAGCCGGAUAGCUCCUGGGGUCAGCGAAACGUUAGCUGCAAGCCGGGACAAUCCUCUGCGAACGAGGAGUGGGCAGUAACCCAAGAUGGCACCUCCUGUCUGUACUGGAGCGCUGGCAGCCUAACUUCCUGCUGGAGAGGCCAUGACCUGCUUGCAUCUGUUCCCGUAGCACGGCCUUGUGCUGAAAACACAAAACCAGAAGAAUGCAACUGCAAAUGCAGAAGAAAGAGUCUCGGUGCCAAAUUCAGAGCCUUGAAGUUUCCUCCAGAUGCUCCCGUUUCCUCCCACAUGCAAAGACAUAUUGGGAGGUUGCUCCCAGUGCUUGCCUGGACAGGAUCUGCCUUCCUGCAGCCCUUCAUUGGAAGGAGUGGUUAGAAAAUGGAUGGAUGGAACACAGUCUGAGGUGUGAUCUCAGCAGACGUUAGGCCUGCAGUGCAAAUGCUGUGAUAUGCCAUAAUAGAAGGUUUAAGGACUCAUAGAUAAA